This 767-nucleotide ribosomal RNA is filed under the name uncultured bacterium. RNAcentral's name for it is "bacterial SSU rRNA". It matches the Rfam family "Bacterial small subunit ribosomal RNA", at positions 617 to 1386 of the family's 1533-position model. The record is from RNAcentral.
GCAGUGCCCCUUGAUACUGAAGAGCUUGAAUACAUUAGAGGUAGGGCGGAAUGUGACAAGUAGCGGUGAAAUGCAUAGAUAUGUCACAGAACACCGAUUGCGAAGGCAGCUUACUAUGAUGAGAUUGACGCUGAGGCACGAAAGCGUGGGGAUCAAACAGGAUUAGAUACCCUGGUAGUCCACGCCCUAAACGAUGAAUACUCGCUGUUAGCGAUACACAGUUAGCGGCUAAGCGAAAGCGUUAAGUAUUCCACCUGGGGAGUACGGUCGCAAGAUUGAAACUCAAAGGAAUUGACGGGGGCCCGCACAAGCGGAGGAGCAUGUGGUUUAAUUCGAUGAUACGCGAGGAACCUUACCCGGGCUUGAAAGUUAGUGAAUCAUUUAGAGAUAGAUGAGUGAGCAAUCACACGAAACUAGGUGCUGCAUGGCUGUCGUCAGCUCGUGCCGUGAGGUGUUGGGUUAAGUCCCGCAACGAGCGCAACCCCUAUGUUUAGUUGCCAGCACGUUAAGGUGGGGACUCUAAACAGACUGCCUGUGCAAACAGAGAGGAAGGAGGGGACGACGUCAAGUCAUCAUGGCCCUUACGUCCGGGGCUACACACGUGCUACAAUGGAUGGUACAGAGGGCAGCAAGCUGGCAACAGCAAGCGAAUCUCCAAAAGCCAUUCACAGUUCGGAUAGAGGUCUGCAACUCGACCUCUUGAAGUUGGAUUCGCUAGUAAUCGCAUAUCAGCAAUGAUGCGGUGAAUACGUUCCCGGGCCUUGUAC